Molecule: ribosomal RNA, 898 nt
Filed under: uncultured bacterium
Lineage: Bacteria
Description: bacterial SSU rRNA
Rfam family: Bacterial small subunit ribosomal RNA
Source: RNAcentral
AGAGUUUGAUCCUGGCUCAGGACGAACGCUGGCGGCGUGCCUAACACAUGCAAGUCGAACGGAGUUGUUUCUUCGGAAAUAACUUAGUGGCGAACGGGUGAGUAACGCGUGAGGAACCUACCUUUCAGUGGGGGACAACAGUUGGAAACGACUGCUAAUACCGCAUAACACAUUUGAGGGGCAUCCCUUGAAUGUCAAAGAUUUAUUGCUGAAAGAUGGCCUCGCGUCUGAUUAGCUAGUUGGUGGGGUAACGGCUCACCAAGGCGACGAUCAGUAGCCGGUCUGAGAGGAUGAACGGCCACAUUGGGACUGAGAUACGGCCCAGACUCCUACGGGAGGCAGCAGUGGGGAAUAUUGGGCAAUGGGGGAAACCCUGACCCAGCAACGCCGCGUGAAGGAAGAAGGCCUUCGGGUUGUAAACUUCUUUUACCAGGGACGAAGAACGUGACGGUACCUGGAGAAAAAGCAACGGCUAACUACGUGCCAGCAGCCGCGGUAAUACGUAGGUUGCAAGCGUUGUCCGGAUUUACUGGGUGUAAAGGGCGUGUAGGCGGAGAUGCAAGUUGGGAGUGAAAUCCCGGGGCUCAACCCCGGAACUGCUUUCAAAACUGCAUCCCUUGAGUAUCGGAGAGGCAAGCGGAAUUCCUAGUGUAGCGGUGAAAUGCGUAGAUAUUAGGAGGAACACCAGUGGCGAAGGCGGCUUGCUGGACGACAACUGACGCUGAGGCGCGAAAGCGUGGGGAGCAAACAGGAUUAGAUACCCUGGUAGUCCACGCUGUAAACGAUGAAUACUAGGUGUGGGAGGACUGACCCCUUCCGUGCCGCAGUUAACACAAUAAGUAUUCCACCUGGGGAGUACGACCGCAAGGUUGAAACUCAAAGGAAUUGACGGGGGCCC